Molecule: ribosomal RNA, 452 nt
Filed under: uncultured bacterium
Lineage: Bacteria
Description: partial 16S ribosomal RNA
Rfam family: Bacterial small subunit ribosomal RNA
Source: RNAcentral
CCCAGACUCCUACGGGAGGCAGCAGUGGGGAAUAUUGCACAAUGGGGGAAACCCUGAUGCAGCGACGCCGCGUGAGCGAAGAAGUAUUUCGGUAUGUAAAGCUCUAUCAGCAGGGAAGAAAAAAAUGACGGUACCUGAGUAAGAAGCACCGGCUAAAUACGUGCCAGCAGCCGCGGUAAUACGUAUGGUGCAAGCGUUAUCCGGAUUUACUGGGUGUAAAGGGAGCGUAGGCGGCAGGGCAAGCCUGAUGUGAAAGCCCGGGGCUCAACCCCGGGACUGCAUUGGGAACUGCCCCGCUCGAGUGCCGGAGGGGCAGGCGGAAUUCCUAGUGUAGCGGUGAAAUGCGUAGAUAUUAGGAGGAACACCAGUGGCGAAGGCGGCCUGCUGGACGGUGUACUGACGCUGAGGCUCGAAAGCGUGGGGAGCAAACAGGAUUAGAUACCCCCGCAGUC